This 90-nucleotide ribosomal RNA is filed under the name Pseudomonas sp. CK-NBRI-02. RNAcentral's name for it is "partial 23S ribosomal RNA". The stretch from base 1 to 73 matches the Rfam family "Bacterial large subunit ribosomal RNA", at positions 2853 to 2925 of the family's 2925-position model. Lineage: Bacteria; Pseudomonadati; Pseudomonadota; Gammaproteobacteria; Pseudomonadales; Pseudomonadaceae. The record is from RNAcentral.
UUGAUAGGUCGGGUGUGUAAGCGCUGUGAGGCGUUGAGCUAACCGAUACUAAUUGCCCGUGAGGCUUGACCAUAUAACACCCAAGCAAUU